AGUGAACGCUGGCGGUAGGCCUAACACAUGCAAGUCGAACGGCAGCACAGUAAGAGCUUGCUCUUACGGGUGGCGAGUGGCGGACGGGUGAGGAAUACAUCGGAAUCUACUUUUUCGUGGGGGAUAACGUAGGGAAACUUACGCUAAUACCGCAUACGACCUACGGGUGAAAGCAGGGGAUCUUCGGGCCUUGCGCGAUUGAAUGAGCCGAUGUCGGAUUAGCUAGUUGGCGGGGUAAAGGCCCACCAAGGCGACGAUCCGUAGCUGGUGUGAGAGAAUGAUCAGCCACACUGGAACUGAGACACGGUCCAGACUCCUGCGGGAGGCAGCAGUGGGGAAUAUUGGACAAUGGGCGCAAGCCUGAUCCAGCCAUACCGCGUGGGUGAAGAAGGCCUUCGGGUUGUAAAGCCCUUUUGUUGGGAAAGAAAAGCAGCAGGUUAAUACCCCGCUGUUCUGACGGUACCCAAAGAAUAAGCACCGGCUAACUUCGUG
Molecule: ribosomal RNA, 492 nt
Filed under: uncultured bacterium
Lineage: Bacteria
Description: partial 16S ribosomal RNA
Rfam family: Bacterial small subunit ribosomal RNA
Source: RNAcentral